Molecule: ribosomal RNA, 552 nt
Filed under: uncultured bacterium
Lineage: Bacteria
Description: bacterial SSU rRNA
Rfam family: Bacterial small subunit ribosomal RNA
Source: RNAcentral
ACUAAAUAGAUACCCUGGUAGUCCACGCCCUAAACGAUGUCAACUGGGUGUUGGGGAAGCGAUUCCUUGGUACCGUAGCUAAACGCGUGAGGUUGACCGCCUGGGGAGUACGGCCGCAAGGUUAAAACUCAAAGGAAUUGACGGGGACCCGCACAAGCGGUGGAUGAUGUGGAUUAAUUCGAUGCAACGCGAACAACCUUACCUACCCUUGACAUGUCCGAGAGCCCGCUGAGAGGUGGGUGUGCCCGAAAGGGAAUUGGAACACAGGUGCUGCAUGGCUGUCGUCAGCUCGUGUCGUGAGAUGUUGGGUUAAGUCCCGCAACGAGCGCAACCCUUGUCCCUAGUUGCUACGCAAGGGCACUCUAGGGAGACUGCCGGUGACAAACCGGAGGAAGGUGGGGAUGACGUCAAGUCCUCAUGGCCCUUAUGGGUAGGGCUUCACACGUCAUACAAUGGACGGUACAGAGGGUAGCCAACCCGGCGAGGGGGUAGCCAAUCCCAGAAAGCCGUUCGUAGUCCGGAUUGCAGUCUGCAACUCGACUGCAUGAAGUC